Arabidopsis thaliana (thale cress) is the source of this 481-nucleotide long non-coding RNA. RefSeq annotates it as other RNA. NCBI's taxonomy places the organism in Eukaryota, Viridiplantae, Streptophyta, Magnoliopsida, Brassicales, Brassicaceae. The record is from RefSeq. The transcript has a single exon.
AGUCUGAAACAACCACCAACUAACUUUAUAAGUUUACAUUUAAACUUUUUUGUUUUGUUACGUUUGUUUGCCACUAGUACCAUCAUUACUUGCAUUUAUUCUGCACUAACGGUACUAAUCGAAUUGGUUCUGUUUCUUUACUUCCACACCAUUUGUUUUCUUUAACAAUUUUAUACAUUACAUAUCCAUAAAUGGAAAACAAAAAAAUAUCUUCACUUCACAUGCCUCCAAUGAAUCCUCUCUUCAUCUCUUAGCAUAACUAAUUCAAUCAUUGUCAUCUACAAAGUCACACAGAGUGAAUUGUUAAAUCGUAAAGCCACAAUUAUAAACAUAAGUGUAAAGAGCAAAACCGGUGGUAUAAACCGGACAAUAGAUUUGCUUCACAAACCCCAACAAAACAAAAUUAGGUCACUGAGAUUUGACUGUUACCUUUAAGGAAUUUCAAUCUCAUCAUCGAAGCCUAUCCACAAUAAAACCAAUC